AUUGAACGCUGGCGGCAUGCCUUACACAUGCAAGUCGAACGGCAGCACGGGGGCAACCCUGGUGGCGAGUGGCGAACGGGUGAGUAAUAUAUCGGAACGUACCCUGGAGUGGGGGAUAACGUAGCGAAAGUUACGCUAAUACCGCAUACGAUCUAAGGAUGAAAGUGGGGGAUCGCAAGACCUCAUGCUCCUGGAGCGGCCGAUAUCUGAUUAGCUAGUUGGUGGGGUAAAGGCCUACCAAGGCAUCGAUCAGUAGCUGGUCUGAGAGGACGACCAGCCACACUGGGACUGAGACACGGCCCAGACUCCUACGGGAG
RNAcentral lists this ribosomal RNA (317 nucleotides) under uncultured bacterium. Its description in RNAcentral is "bacterial SSU rRNA". It matches the Rfam family "Bacterial small subunit ribosomal RNA", at positions 30 to 347 of the family's 1533-position model. The record is from RNAcentral.